RNAcentral lists this ribosomal RNA (750 nucleotides) under Triticum aestivum (bread wheat). RNAcentral's name for it is "partial small subunit ribosomal RNA". The record is from RNAcentral. Lineage: Eukaryota; Viridiplantae; Streptophyta; Magnoliopsida; Poales; Poaceae.
AUGCAAGUCAAGGCUGCUCAAAUCAUAUCAGAAGAGCAAGUGUAUUUGGAAGAUGCUAUGUUGGAUGCCUUGGCAGUGGAGAAAACUGCAGCUGAGGCUGCUGCCUUUCUGUCGGUUAAUGCUCUGUUAGGUUCCCAAAAUCCUAAGACAAUCAGAUUAAGAGCUAUGGUGGACAAUAAGGUCAUGCUUCUGUUAGUGGACUCUGGAAGUUCACAUACUUUUAUUGAUCAGCAACUGGCGUACAUGCUACAGUGUCCUACCUCUCCACUUCAUGUUUCUCUGAGAGUGAAAGUAGCUAAUGGGGAGUUCAUGCAGUGUGAGCAAGAAGUUCAUGGGUUUAAAUGGUGGAUUCAGGGUCACACCUUCAUUACUGACAUGAAGUUUGUGCCAUUGGGAGGCUAUGAUGCCAUCUUGGGCAUGGAUUGGCUGGAGAAAUGGGGUCCUAUGACUUGUCACUGGGAGGAAAAGUGGAUUCAGUUCCAACACAAUGAACAACUCAUUACUUUACAAGGCUUGCAUGAUAAACCUGUGACACAAAUUAAAGAGCUCACUGCAGAACAGUUAGAGAAGUGUCUUAAAGGUAAUGAUGUUUGGGCUACAGCAGUGUUAGCCCCUGAAGCAGAUCUCUCUGUCCAAACUACACCUGAAAGUGUACAAGAACUUCUGACUGAAUACAGUGAUGUGUUUCAGAAACCACAGCAGUUGGCACCACAUAGAGCAUUUGAUCAUGCCGUUUCCCCUGUUACCUGA